Molecule: unclassified non-coding RNA, 983 nt
Filed under: Hevea brasiliensis (rubber tree)
Lineage: Eukaryota; Viridiplantae; Streptophyta; Magnoliopsida; Malpighiales; Euphorbiaceae
Source: RNAcentral
UUGAAGGACAUGCUUCAAAAAAUGGAGGUGCAACUUAAGCCAUUAAUGGAUCAACUUAAUAGAGUGAAGGAUUUGCCUGUUCCUGAAUUUGGAAGCCUUCAAGCAUGGGAAGCUCGAGCAAGUGCUGCUGGGCGCCCAGUAAAUGGUGAUUCUAGUUCCAAUGAUCCCUUCAAAUCUUCCCAGGGGCUAGGGUAUGGUAGAAUGCCGAUGACAUUUAUUGGGGAGACAAAGGUUGAAGUUGCCUUUUCUGGUGUUGAAGGCAAGGAGGAGGAUGUCAAAUCUGAAACUGCAAGUUCAGAUCCGAAAAUGUUGCCUCCAUGGAUGAUCAAGCAGGGAAUGAACCUUACAAAAGAGCAACGUGGAGAGGUCAAGCAAGAGUCUAAAAUGGAUGGAAUUUCGUCAGCUGAAUUCUCAGAUGACAAGAAGUCCAAUGAUGAUGUAGAUAAUAAAAGCUUACAGGAUGAGUAUGUUAAAGCUUAUUAUGCUGCUUUGCUUAAGAAGCAACAAGAACUAGAAGAAGCUGCUAUGAAGCAGGAGUUGUUACGUGCACCCAACUCAAAUGGCGUUUCUGAAUCACUUUCUAAUCGUCAGGUGGGCAUGAAGUCCAAACGUGAGGAGGAUGAAGGGGAAGAUGAUGUUGAAUGGGAAGAGGCCCCAACUGGUGGCAGUACAGGUGAAAGUUACAAGGUCAAUGACUUGAAUUUUGAAGCUGAAGCUUCAGGAGAGGAGGAGGAUGAUAUAGAUUGGGAAGAUGGUUGAGUGUCAAAUUAAUUAACUUGUGCAAUGCAUGGGAACAUAUUUACUAAUUCAAUAUGAAAGGUAACCAACAUUUAAUCUUUGUGUUGCUUAUGUAGACACUGAUUUCUACCAAGUUUAAGAUAUUGUCCAUUGAGAACUACAGUUGAUAAUACCUUGUGUGUUGUAAGUCACUUGUGCAUGUAUUUUGUAAAUCCAUUUUUUUUUUUGGCUUGUUUAUUAAAACC